GUUAGUUGCUAACGCGUGAAGGCGAGCACUCUAGACGAACUGCCGUUGACAAAACGGAGGAAGGUGGGAUGACGUCAAAUCAUCAUGCCCCUUAUGUUCUGGGCUACACACGUGCUACAAUGGCCGGUACAGACGGACGCAAAGCCGCGAGGUGGAGCAAAUCCUAAAAAGCCGGUCUCAGUUCGGAUUGCAGGCUGCAAUUCGCCUGCAUGAAGUCGGAAUCGCUAGUAAUCGCAGGUCAGCAUACUGCGGUGAAUCCGUUCCCGGGCCUU
This 272-nucleotide ribosomal RNA is filed under the name uncultured Bacillus sp. RNAcentral's name for it is "partial 16S ribosomal RNA". It matches the Rfam family "Bacterial small subunit ribosomal RNA", at positions 1110 to 1382 of the family's 1533-position model. The record is from RNAcentral. Lineage: Bacteria; Bacillati; Bacillota; Bacilli; Caryophanales; Bacillaceae.